UACAUGACUUAAAGAAAGAUAAUAAAAAACAACAAAAGACAUGUAAUGCGGACUCUAAACGGACUCUAAGACCCCAUACAGCCCUAAACGAAACACAAAAUAUCACACAAAGACAAACAAUAUUUAAAAUCUACUCCUAUGGUAAGGCUUGUAGCUUUGGCUAACAAGACACACUCACCUGUCUAGCUAUGCUAAAAUUUAAAAGCAAGUAAAGUUGCCAAGAAUUGGAAAGAAAGAGCACCAAGGACUCUUCCCACACCACUUGGACUUGCAAUGGCCUUUUACAAUUUAAAGAAAUCUAACAAAGGAAAACCUAUUACAAGUCAACAAUGAACACUACAAUUACAAAAGAAAGCUAAGAAUUGCUGCUACCAUGUUCUGAUUUUGUUCAAAUCCAAGUGUUGGACAACUUCUGGAUACUUUUUUUUUUUUGGAGUCUUCUAGCUUUUUGGUUCAACUUUCUGUUCUUAGUUUUGGUGCCUUGCUGCUGCUUAAAAACUCAACUGCACCAAUUCUUUCUCUCGGCUUUACUGUAAUGGAUGUGGAGGAUCGAUCCAAUUUUCCCCUGCUGCAGCUUGAAAUAAACAAAGCUUUUCAAGGGGUUGUGGUUUUGCUGCCAAAUGCAUAUGCUGCAGAAUGAACUUGAUUGGAAGAUUUGCUGUUGCGGCUGUUUUUCUCUUGUGCCGUGUUGAAAGUCUACACAAUUUCCACUGCUGCAACCAAUGUUAUAAUACUUUCCAAAUUACAUCUGCAUAGCUGUAACAUGCCAAACAACAAAUACUCCAAGCAAAGUGGAAAUCAACAAGUAUAUUUGACAAAAUCAGUUCAACUUUUGAUCUAAAUUCAUUUAUACUUGUGAUUUAAAUUAAUGAUUCAAAUUUAGUAACAAGAUUAGCAGACAACUGUGCACAAAGAAAGGGGAAAAAGUGUGGCAGUGCAGCUUUAGAUUCUCAAAAUAAUUGAACACUGCACUGUAGGCAGCCUCAAAUCUCUCAGCUGCAAGGGUCUUUGUGCAGUUUUACUGUUUCAGCACUCAGAAAUGGUAAAAAAAUGGUGUGCAGCUUUGGCUUCUCUCAAGAAAAUUGAAUCUGCAAUUGGAUUCUCACAAAGGUUACAGCUGCAAAGUAAGGAAGCUGCUGUCACAUGGAAAUUCCACACCAGAAUUUGCAGCUUACGAGUGUACUGCUGUGCCGAAUUGCAUCCUUCCAAGUGAUCUUUUCCUUCACCAAUCCUCUUCCUAAAGUGCUACUAAUUAUGUCAAGCCGUCUACAACAAUGUUGUAACCACAAAUGAACUCACACCAAUCCACAUUCAUCAAGUUUGAGUGCAGAAAUUGGGACUUUUGCUGCUGCAAUGAUAACAAAACAGAACACAUCACUGGAAAUAUAAGAAACAGUUGGUGUGCAGAAGUCCAAACAAGCAAAAAUCAAGCAAUUAAUUGGUGUUCAAUGAUAGGUGGCACUCAAAAGGAACUUAGGAAAGGUUCUAGAGUAGAUUUGAAAAGCAAGAAACAAAGAUAAGUUGCAGAAACAUUUAAUUCAACUCAAAAGGAAUUUAAGCAAAAGUGUUUGGAGAAAUGCCUAAAUGAACUGCUGAAAACUAUGCAUCCAGUUUCAGACUUAUGUCAAUUGGCACGGUUCCUCUUGCUUUUACAAUGCAGCAUAUACGUAUUUUGAUUUAUGCUUUCAUUCUUUUUCUUUAAUUACUUGAACCAAGCAUUUUGCUACCAAUGAUCAUACAAUAUGGAUGCACACUUCACAACAAUACUGUCAUAAAAACGCUGCAACUUAUUAAAACAAAAUAAUGCUGAAUAAUGAAAUCAGAUUGGUUAUAUUUAGCAGAUAGGUAUAUCUUUCUGAUUUAGAGCUUUCAGCAACUUUAAUUGAGCAUAAAUGACAUAUAUCAAUUGUCAAGUGAGACAAUUCAUGCUUGAAUAAAAAAUUGCCUAUAUCAGUUGCCAUUUCACGCUAAAUCAUAACCAAUGCAUUAAUCAAAUUUCAGCAUAAGAUUCAAAAGUGUUUGGAUCAGUGAUUUGGCACUUGGAGCAAGUCUGGUUUGCCAAAUAUAUCAGAUUGAAGUGGAUGGCAGUGACUGCACACGACUAUUGCAAAUUCUCACCACACAGGUUGCUUAAUUCAACCAAAAAUGAUUCAUACCACAUGGAAAUUCAUCCUAAUGCUUCAAACAAUUAUGAAACACAAUUUGAUGAAUCCAAACAGCAAGCUAAGUUGAACACAAACUCUAUAGAAUUAUGAAGAAGUCCAGACAAGGAUACUACAGCUGGACCGAUUAAAAAAAAUUACAAAGACUCUCUGCAAAGAUGUAUGCAACACGGUUCAAGCUGCUGUGUAAUAGAUUUGGAAUCUGCAGAGUAAUGCUCUCCACUAUAAUAUCUUAAUCAUAUUUUGUGGAAUGCAUUUUCCUCUUAUUGCAUCAUAUCCAACACUCACAAACAAUCAAUCAUGAGAUUAAAACAGAAUAGCAUAAAACACAAUUGAUUGUACGGAUAACACUUUUCCACCUGAUGCAAACCAAAAUUCAAAUAUGAAACAAUUAUACUUUGUCAACCUCUGGUACUGCUUUGUUGAGGAGAUUUAAGAUGCACUAAGCUUCUAUUGAAUUACUCCAAUCAACUAUGCAGAUUUAUCCACACACGGUUGAACUUGGAAAUUGGACAUAAUGGAAACAACAAUGAACAUGACUUAGACAAACAGCAGUAGGAUUUAAAAAAAAAUAAAAAAACUCAAAUCUAUGAAAUGAACCGAUUAAAAUGCUAAGACCAAAUCAAAUCAAAGCUGGAUCAAACAAGUGACUCAAAGGAACCUAUGGAAUUUAAGAGAAGCAAUGGAACAGUGAACUGAACACAGACAUGUCAAACAAUAUUUGACAACUCGGACAUGAAACGAGAACUUAUCUGGACAGCGAGAUCGCUCACGGAGCUGGAAUAUAAUGCAGCAACCAAGCUCUGAUUACCAAUUGAUGACCUCGAUCCAGUCGGUGGAAGAGAAAACAAGCAACGAAUGUUUUUUGUAGAGUUUGAUAGCAGCAGAGAAUGAAGUUUAGUGGAAGAAUGUGGUGGCAGGGGAGCUCUCGGUGGCAGUGAAAUCUAGUUUAGACGGCUUCCAUAGUUGGAAGGAACUAGGUGGUGAGGGAAAAGGUCAAGGUAGUAUGACUUUCGGAUAGAGUGUUGUUUGCUGGAAAUUCAACAGCAGAAAACAAUCUUUCAUAAAUUCCAAAAGU
This 3240-nucleotide long non-coding RNA is filed under the name Vigna radiata. RNAcentral describes it as "long non-coding RNA (VRAD_LNC017607)". The record is from RNAcentral. Lineage: Eukaryota; Viridiplantae; Streptophyta; Magnoliopsida; Fabales; Fabaceae.